Molecule: ribosomal RNA, 322 nt
Filed under: uncultured cyanobacterium
Lineage: Bacteria; Bacillati; Cyanobacteriota
Description: bacterial SSU rRNA
Rfam family: Bacterial small subunit ribosomal RNA
Source: RNAcentral
AGUCCCGCAACGAGCGCAACCCACGUCGUUAGUUGCCAGCAUUUAGUUGGGCACUCCUAGCGAGACCGCCGGUGAUAAACCGGAGGAAGGUGUGGAUGACGUCAAGUCAUCAUGCCCCUUACAUCCUGGGCUACACACGUACUACAAUGCUACGGACAAAGGGCAGCAAACUCGCGAGAGCUAGCAAAUCCCAUAAACCGUGGCUCAGUUCAGAUCGUAGGCUGCAACUCGCCUACGUGAAGGAGGAAUCGCUAGUAAUCGCAGGUCAGCAUACUGCGGUGAAUACGUUCCCGGGCCUUGUACACACCGCCCGUCACACCAU